GUAAUACAUCGGAACGUACCUUGUAGUGGGGGAUNGCUCGGCGAAAGCCGGAUUAAUACCGCAUACGCUCUGAGGAGGAAAGCGGGGGACCUUCGGGCCUCGCGCUACAAGAGCGGCCGAUGUCAGAUUAGCUAGUUGGUGGGGUAAAAGCUCACCAAGGCGACGAUCUGUAGCUGGUCUGAGAGGACGACCAGCCACACUGGGACUGAGACACGGCCCAGACUCCUACGGGAGGCAGCAGUGGGGAAUUUUGGACAAUGGGCGAAAGCCUGAUCCAGCAAUGCCGCGUGUGUGAAGAAGGCCUUCGGGUUGUAAAGCACUUUUGUCCGGAAAGAAAUCCUCUGGGUUAAUACCUCGGGGGGAUGACGGUACCGGAAGAAUAAGCACCGGCUAACUACGUGCCAGCAGCCGCGGUAAUACGUAGGGUGCAAGCGUUAAUCGGAAUUACUGGGCGUAAAGCGUGCGCAGGCGGUUUUGUAAGACGGAUGUGAAAUCCCCGGGCUUAACCUGGGAACUGCAUUCGUGACUGCAAGGCUAGAGUAUGGCAGAGGGGGGUAGAAUUCCACGUGUAGCAGUGAAAUGCGUAGAGAUGUGGAGGAAUACCGAUGGCGAAGGCAGCCCCCUGGGCCAAUACUGACGCUCAUGCACGAAAGCGUGGGGGAGCAAACAGGAUUAGAUACCCUGGUAGUCCACGCCCUAAACGAUGUCAACUAGUUGUUGGGGAUUCAUUUCCUUAGUAACGUAGCUAACGCGUGAAGUUGACCGCCUGGGGAGUACGGUCGCAAGAUUAAAACUCAAAGGAAUUGACGGGGACCCGCACAAGCGGUGGAUGAUGUGGAUUAAUUCGAUGCAACGCGAAAAACCUUACCUACCCUUGACAUGUACGGAAUCCUGCUGAGAGGUGGGAGUGCUCGAAAGAGAACCGUAACACAGGUGCUGCAUGGCUGUCGUCAGCUCGUGUCGUGAGAUGUUGGGUUAAGUCCCGCAACGAGCGCAACCCUUGUCCUUAGUUGCUACGCAAGAGCACUCUAAGGAGACUGCCGGUGACAAACCGGAGGAAGGUGGGGAUGACGUCAAGUCCUCAUGGCCCUUAUGGGUAGGGCUUCACACGUCAUACAAUGGUCGGUACAGAGGGCUGCCAAACCGCGAGGUGGAGCUAACCCCAGAAAACCGAUCGUAGUCCGGAUCGCAGUCUGCAACUCGACUGCGUGAAGCUGGAAUCGCUAGUAAUCGCGGAUCAGCAUGUCGCGGUGAAUACGUUCCCGGGUCUUGUACACACCGCCCGUCACACCAUGGGAGUGGGUUUUGCCAGAAGUAGGUAGCCUAACCGUAAGGAGGGCGCUACC
Molecule: ribosomal RNA, 1346 nt
Filed under: Pandoraea sp. AI-S126
Lineage: Bacteria; Pseudomonadati; Pseudomonadota; Betaproteobacteria; Burkholderiales; Burkholderiaceae
Description: bacterial SSU rRNA
Rfam family: Bacterial small subunit ribosomal RNA
Source: RNAcentral